This 248-nucleotide non-coding RNA is filed under the name Bacillus sp. (in: firmicutes). RNAcentral describes it as "Bacillus sp. T-box sequence". It matches the Rfam family "T-box leader". From Rfam's summary of the family: Uncharged tRNA acts as the effector for transcription antitermination of genes in the T-box leader family. Lineage: Bacteria; Bacillati; Bacillota; Bacilli; Caryophanales; Bacillaceae. The record is from RNAcentral.
AUAAAAUCAAUGAAGAGAAGAGUAAGAUCGCAGCCCUGAACUAAAGAGAAACCAACAAUUGGUGAGAGUUGGUGUUUAAGAAGCUUUCUGAAAAUCAUCUCUGAGAUGCAAGACUGAAAUGAGUAAGUUUUGACGGGUUUUCCGCCGUUAUAACGGAAUGCGUAUGUUCGUACGCUGAUGGAGAGCCGCAGCCUUUUUACGUUGCUGCGGAAUUAGGGUGGUAUCGCGAGUACAAGCUCGUCCCUGCA